AGACUAGGAGGAGUCAAGUCGGUUUGCCAUUCAGGAUGACUGGGGAUCGUGGGCAACCGAAGUGUGGCUAAAGGCCAGUUG
RNAcentral lists this non-coding RNA (81 nucleotides) under Schistosoma japonicum. The record is from RNAcentral. Lineage: Eukaryota; Metazoa; Platyhelminthes; Trematoda; Strigeidida; Schistosomatidae.